Molecule: ribosomal RNA, 460 nt
Filed under: Dictyopterini sp. UPOL 001283
Lineage: Eukaryota; Metazoa; Arthropoda; Insecta; Coleoptera; Lycidae
Description: partial 16S ribosomal RNA
Source: RNAcentral
CAUGGUUUUUUGAAUAUAAUUUAAGAUUUAAUCUGCUCAAUGAUUAGUUAAAUUGCCGCAGUAUUUUAACUGUGCAAAGGUAGCAUAAUAAUUAGUUUCUUGAUUAGAAGCUGGAAUGAAUGAUUGGACGAUAAAUUUACUGUCUCUUAUUAAUUGUUUUGUUAAUUUUAUUUUUAAGUUAAAAAGCUUAAAUUUUAUUAAAAGACGAGAAGACCCUAUAGAGUUUAAUAAUAUAAUUGAUGUAUUAAUGUGGUAAUUUCACAUUGUUUUUAUUAUUUGAUUGGGGUGAUCUAAAAAUUUUAUAAAUUUUUUAAAAGUUUAAUUUUUAAUUUGAAAAUCUAUAAUCUAAUUUUUUAAAUUUAAAAUAAAUUACCUUAGGGAUAACAGCGUAAUUUUUCUUUAAAGUUCUUAUUGAAAGAAAAGUUUGCGACCUCGAUGUUGGAUUAAAAUUAAUUUUAGG